CACAAGCGGUGGAGGUAUGUGGUUUAAUUCGAUGCAACGCGAAGAACUACCUGGUCUUGACAUCCCGGAGACCCUUAGGAAACUAGGGGUGCUUCCAUCUGGAAGAAUCUGGAGACAGGUGCUGCAUGGCUGUCGUCAGCUCGUGUCGUGAGAUGUUGGGUUAAGUCCCGCAACGAGCGCAACCCUUGCCUUUAGUUGCCAGCAGUUCGGCUGGGCACUCUAAAGGGACUGCCGGUGUUAAACCGGAGGAAGGUGGGGAUGACGUCAAGUCCUCAUGGCCUUUAUGACCAGGGCUACACACGUACUACAAUGGCCGAUACAAAGGGCAGCGACACUGCGAGGUGAAGCCAAUCCCGUAAAAUCGGUCUCAGUCCGGAUUGGAGUCUGCAACUCGACUCCAUGAAGUUGGAAUCGCUAGUAAUCGUGGAUCAGCAUGCCACGGUGAAUACGUUCCCGGGCCUU
This 462-nucleotide ribosomal RNA is filed under the name uncultured Desulfobulbus sp. RNAcentral describes it as "bacterial SSU rRNA". It matches the Rfam family "Bacterial small subunit ribosomal RNA", at positions 924 to 1382 of the family's 1533-position model. Lineage: Bacteria; Pseudomonadati; Thermodesulfobacteriota; Desulfobulbia; Desulfobulbales; Desulfobulbaceae. The record is from RNAcentral.